CCUUGUUUCUUUGCAACAGUUGGUUUUACAGAAAUGCAAGAAACUUGAGCAUCUGCCAUCCAGAGAUGCCAUGCAACGCCUUACCAACUUAUGGUACCUGAAAAUUGAAGGCUGCCCAAAGUUAGAAGAAAGUUGCACCUAUCGGAGUAGACCAAACUCCCAGUGGUCCAACGUUUCCCAUAUUCCAAAAGUUGAAGUAGAUGGGAGGGAAAUUCAGAACUUGCGUUUCUAGGUCCAAGGUCAUGCUAGAACAUGCUGUGGUAAAUCAAGCCAAAUCCCAUGAGCGGCAGGCAAUUAUGUUAGGUUACUAGGUACAAGGUCACGGUAGAACGUGGUUGUGGUAUAUCACGUCAAAAUUUAUGGGCAGCAAUCACGUUAGGUAUUUCUAUUUAGUUGUUAGAGGACUGCUAUGACAAGUGUGUCAAGUUUUUUUUUUUUGCAUUCCUUUUCUCUCCUGAAAUAAUUUUACUGUUUAACGGGGUUUGUUGUGUUUCACAGAGGAACCGCCACUUUUAUUUUAUAUGAAGGACAGAAUCUUCAGCUGUAGACUCAUUACGGGACACUUUCAUGACUAUUUGGGGUACUGAACUGAAGUCUACAUGUGAAACAUCAAACAACUCAAAACGUAUAAGGGGCUCAAUGAGAAGCUACACGGGUCUAUCCUCUGUCUUUGCAUGGCGGUGUUUGACGUUUUUUU
Molecule: long non-coding RNA, 697 nt
Organism: Solanum stenotomum
Lineage: Eukaryota; Viridiplantae; Streptophyta; Magnoliopsida; Solanales; Solanaceae
Exons: 3
Source: RefSeq, a predicted model, not a curated record